UACGGGGGGGGCAAGCGUUGUUCGGAAUUACUGGGCGUAAAGGGCUCGUAGGUGGCCAACUAAGUCGGACGUGAAAUCCCUCGGCUUAACCGGGGAACUGCGUCCGAUACUGGUUGGCUUGAGUUUGGGAGAGGGAUGCGGAAUUCCAGGUGUAGCGGUGAAAUGCGUAGAUAUCUGGAGGAACACCGGUGGCGAAGGCGACAUCCUGGACCAACACUGACGCUGAGGAGCGAAAGCCAGGGGAGCAAACGGG
RNAcentral lists this ribosomal RNA (253 nucleotides) under uncultured bacterium. RNAcentral describes it as "partial 16S ribosomal RNA". It matches the Rfam family "Bacterial small subunit ribosomal RNA", at positions 524 to 776 of the family's 1533-position model. The record is from RNAcentral.